GUGGGUGAGGUGGGCUGCUGAAUUCUUUCUAUUUCAAUUGUAUUGAGGAGCUUUCGAGAUUUUCCAUUUUUGUUUUCUUUCAUCAUCCAUCUAAGUGUAAAAGCUAGCUGUCAUUUGGAAAAGUUGGGAGGAGACGGCAUUUAGAGACAAACUACAACCUUCAAAUAGAAAAAUGUACAUUUAAACUCUAAAAUUUCAAAGAAGUUAGUUUGCAAAUUGGUUGUUUUUCAAGAAAUGACUCAUUUCUUCAAGUGGUUUCGACUUCCUAUUAUCUGGAUUUGAUCCAUCACUUAUGUCAGAUCAACUAAGCCUGGUCCAUCAUGGUUACAAAGUGCCCAGCCUGGCACCAUGCAUGGUAUGCGGAGACCAAAGCCAAGGGGCUGUUUUCCUGCGGGAAUUUACACUGAUUCGAAGAGAGAGCCUCCAUGAAGAUUUCCUGUCUGACCUCUUGAAUAGUCACAAAACUGAAGACUCGGCAACAAUUUUUCUACUUAAAGAAGGACUAUCAGCCAUGAAUAGAUCUAAGCUGAAGUGGAAAAAAAAGUGAUCUGAAUAUGUAAAGUCACUCAAGAAAGUAUCCAUAUUGGUUUCCUGCAAAAUUCCUUUGGAGGCUUCCUGGACGUUGCAUUCCGAAAGCAUCUUACGGAACAUGGUGUCGUCUUCACUACGUCAUGACCGCCCUGCCAGGGACUUGUGUGUCCUGCAUUGGCAAAUUCCAAGUCCCUCAUCAUGGUCUAGAAACAAAUCACCCCCGGUUCCUAUGUCUUCAUUUUCCUUUCAUGUGUUCCAGUAAGGCAUUAAAGAACAGAUAACACUGUAACAC
This 823-nucleotide long non-coding RNA is filed under the name Homo sapiens (human). Its description in RNAcentral is "HSALNT0147143". The record is from RNAcentral. Lineage: Eukaryota; Metazoa; Chordata; Mammalia; Primates; Hominidae.